Lemur catta (Ring-tailed lemur) is the source of this 1887-nucleotide RNA transcript. It is a transcript of the gene named WD repeat domain 86, with no coding region annotated. The record is from RefSeq and is a predicted model, not a curated record. Lineage: Eukaryota; Metazoa; Chordata; Mammalia; Primates; Lemuridae. The transcript is spliced from 4 exons.
UACACUUAUUGUUAUCACCACUGUACAAACGAGCAGAGCCGGACGCAGGCAGGUGAAGCAGCUUGCCCCAGGUCCACAGCAGUCGGGAUUCAAACCCCGGUCUGCCUGAUCCCUUUCUCCACACACUCGACUGUAACGCACCACACGUUUGUGUAUGUAGGUAUAUUUGUGCCAUGAACUUGGAGUGAGCCAAAAGCCUUUCCUGGCCUCAGGUCCUGCUCUGGGAGAUGAGUGCAAUCAGCCAGACCCUGAGAAGGUGCCGUGUGAGCGUUGGUGAAGCAGGAGGAGCAGCUGCAGUUGCACCGGAAGAGAUGCAGGAAGGUUGAGAGAGGCCUGACUUGAGCCAGCGUGCUGGAGAACCACGGCCGACCGUGACACGCUCAGUCCCGGACCAGCGACUGGCGCCCUGUGGAUGGGAAGACCAGACACCCUUGAGGAAGGUCCCUGCUCCUCUGCAUCUGCCAGGCCUGAGGCUGGAAGUCCUUGCCACAGGGCCACCAACAAGUGUCACCUGCUGGGGUCUGAACAACACCCAGAACGGAGGGAAGGAGGUGAAACGAGCACAUUUUGCUUCUGUUGUUAAUGGCUUUACUGAGGUAUAACUGACAUGGAACAAACUGCACAUAUUUAAAGUGUCAAAUCUGAAUACAUCUUGACACAUGCAUACACAGUCAAGGUAGUGAACAUAGCCCUUUCCCCAAAACACAGCCAUCUCCCCAAAAGUUCCCUCUGCUCCUUUGUAAUCCCCACCCCUGCCACCCGCCCGCUCCUCUCAUCCCCAGGCAACCACUGGUCUGCGGUCUGUCCCCACAGGUCAUAUCUGCGCCUGGCAUCUUUAACGACUUUGAGACCCAUCCGCGGCCGGCCCUGCGCACGCCAAUCCUUCAUUGCCACUCACUGCUGAGGAGUGUUCCAUCGUCCUGACAACCGCUACGGAAACUUACAUAGGAGUCUUCCGGGGGACACACGCUCCCACUUCUCUGGGCAGACAGGAAUGGACAAGUCAUGUGAUUUGGGGAAAUUCUCCAGAGCAGAGUCUGUAAUCUGCAGCCUGUAAAAGAGAAGGGAGGAAAAACUGGCUGAGGACAACAUCUGUACUGUGCACCACCACCCCCCAAGCAGAGAAGCCUGGCUCACCCCCACCAAGGAGCCACUUUGUGCCAAACCAAGGAGACGGAAGUGGGGGCACAGAACAAGAACAAAACAUCCACCAGCUUGGAAAGAGGAAGUUGGUAGAAUGAGCCUGUGCGGACUGUAGGCUCAGAGACCAAUGGCAGAUGGUGCUUCCAAACACCCUCUGUGCACUAGGGUCUAAGCCUAGGCCAGAGGGUCUGGGUUGGUGGCCGGAUGGAGGAACCAGAGGGCACAGGUCCCCUCUUGCUCAGCAAUAUUUCGGGACCCCCUUGAAAGUUACCGGGUUCUUUACAGCUCCAGGGAAGCUCCUAGAGGGAGUGGCCAGUUCGCCCCACCCAGCCUGUGACCCUCUCUCUUAGUUUCCAGAACACCAGGUGCCUGUUUUUCCCUGAUCCUCUUCCCCCUCCCCCAGACAUCAGGGUACCCCCUGGCUCUUCUCUCGCUCCUCGCACCCCCCUUCCCAGCUCCCUCUGGCCUCUGUCCUCAUCUGGAGGCCACACCUGUAUGGGCAGCUGCCAAUCAGUCUUCACACCUGGAUGUCGCAAUGGCCCCUUGAAGCUCACAGGUCCCAAGAGGAACUCAUGGUCAGCAUGUGGCAGAUAAAACAUCAUCCUCAGCCACCACCUACCAGCCUUUCAGCAAAAAGGGGAAAAGAAUGGAUUUUUCUGGUUAGGCUACUCGGGAAAUAAAGGCCCAAUGCCCGGGGGGGCCCGAUUAUAGGGUUUUCUUUUGGAGUCUGGACAGAGUGAGAAG